This 67-nucleotide microRNA precursor is filed under the name Vicugna pacos (alpaca). RNAcentral's name for it is "miRNA (ENSVPAG00000017864.1)". The record is from RNAcentral. Lineage: Eukaryota; Metazoa; Chordata; Mammalia; Artiodactyla; Camelidae.
UAGGGUGACCAAUCAUUCUAGUUUGCCUGGGACUGAGGGGUCUCCUGGACAAACUGGGAUGAAUUGA